RNAcentral lists this transfer RNA (62 nucleotides) under Massilia sp. erpn. Its description in RNAcentral is "tRNA-OTHER". Lineage: Bacteria; Pseudomonadati; Pseudomonadota; Betaproteobacteria; Burkholderiales; Oxalobacteraceae. The record is from RNAcentral.
UGGGGUGUGGCAAGUCGUUCGGGACAUAGAGGCCGGAGGUUCGAAUCCUCUCACCCCGACCA